RNAcentral lists this ribosomal RNA (520 nucleotides) under Streptomyces sp. SS 76. RNAcentral describes it as "bacterial SSU rRNA". It matches the Rfam family "Bacterial small subunit ribosomal RNA", at positions 56 to 596 of the family's 1533-position model. The record is from RNAcentral. Lineage: Bacteria; Bacillati; Actinomycetota; Actinomycetes; Kitasatosporales; Streptomycetaceae.
UGCAGUCGACGAUGACCACUUCGGUGGGGAUUAGUGGCGAACGGGUGAGUAACACGUGGGCAAUCUGCCCUUCACUCUGGGACAAGCCCUGGAAACGGGGUCUAAUACCGGAUAACACUGCCACGGGCAUCUGUGGUGGUUAAAAGCUCCGGCGGUGAAGGAUGAGCCCGCGGCCUAUCAGCUUGUUGGUGAGGUAAUGGCUCACCAAGGCGACGACGGGUAGCCGGCCUGAGAGGGCGACCGGCCACACUGGGACUGAGACACGGCCCAGACUCCUACGGGAGGCAGCAGUGGGGAAUAUUGCACAAUGGGCGAAAGCCUGAUGCAGCGACGCCGCGUGAGGGAUGACGGCCUUCGGGUUGUAAACCUCUUUCAGCAGGGAAGAAGCGAAAGUGACGGUACCUGCAGAAGAAGCGCCGGCUAACUACGUGCCAGCAGCCGCGGUAAUACGUAGGGCGCAAGCGUUGUCCGGAAUUAUUGGGCGUAAAGAGCUCGUAGGCGGCUUGUCACGUCGGGUGUG